This 253-nucleotide ribosomal RNA is filed under the name uncultured bacterium. Its description in RNAcentral is "partial 16S ribosomal RNA". It matches the Rfam family "Bacterial small subunit ribosomal RNA", at positions 524 to 776 of the family's 1533-position model. The record is from RNAcentral.
UACGUAGGGGGCAAGCGUUGUCCGGAUUUAUUGGGCGUAAAGAGCGUGUAGGCGGCCAGGUAGGUCCGUUGUGAAAACUGGAGGCUUAACCUCCAGCUGUCGAUGGAAACCAUCUGGCUAGAGUCCGGAAGAGGAGAGUGGAAUUCCUGGUGUAGCGGUGAAAUGCGCAGAUAUCAGGAAGAACACCAAUGGCGAAGGCAGCUCUCUGGGACGGUACUGACGCUGAGACGCGAAAGCGUGGGGAGCGAACAGG